UUGGGCAACCGGAGCUACCCGAUCUACAUUGGAUCUGGACUUCUCGAUCAACCUGAACUGCUCCAAAGGCAUGUCCAUGGGAAGAGAGUGCUUGUGGUGACUAACAACACAGUAGGACCAUUAUACUUGGAUAAAGUGGUUGAUGCAUUAACAAGAGGGAAUCCAAACGUUUCCGUGGAGAGUGUCAUAUUGCCUGAUGGUGAGAAGUACAAGAAUAU
This 218-nucleotide unclassified non-coding RNA is filed under the name Hevea brasiliensis (rubber tree). The record is from RNAcentral. Lineage: Eukaryota; Viridiplantae; Streptophyta; Magnoliopsida; Malpighiales; Euphorbiaceae.